RNAcentral lists this long non-coding RNA (4507 nucleotides) under Homo sapiens (human). RNAcentral's name for it is "HSALNT0321544". The record is from RNAcentral. Lineage: Eukaryota; Metazoa; Chordata; Mammalia; Primates; Hominidae.
UUUGGCUGUGAUAAUUUUCCAACAGUUUUAAAAUAAAAUGAAUAACUUCAUGGGAUCUGUACAUUAUAUACACCAAGUUUUAACUCACAUUUUUUUGUGUGUGUGCCAAGAAGCCACUGAAGUAGGUUGAGGGGAAAAUAAACAUUGAAAAACCUAUGUAGUUAAUGAAGAAAGCACCAAGAGGUUAUUCUUAAUGUUUGCUUAGCCUCUUGUACUCUGACUUAGUAUUGUGAGUACUAAACCUUAGCCAUAGUAUUAAACCUCCUACUAUUUUUUUUUCAUAGUUCCAGAAAAAACUAUUAUUUGCGUUCCUAUUUAAUAGUUCCUAAGAAUCUGGGCGUUGCCAGAUCAUCUUUGAGACAAUUCUGAUUGGCCCCACUAAGAGCAAGCCGCUGUGUAAAAAUAGCAACUGCUGGGAGAUAUUCCCAAGACAAAGUCAAAGCUGCCAAUCAACUCCAGCCCUGGGCAUCCACUCCACUUCCACAAGGACGCUAUGCUGGUGAAGUUCUCUGUGGAAUGGAAGACUGAACUAGCUAUUGGACUGGGAUUUACAUUAUUGGCUGCCUUCAUUUUUGGAUCUUUGACGCAGACUAAAUUAUACCACUGGCUUUCCUGGAUCUCCAGUUUGCAGACAGCAGAUUGUGGGACUUUUCAGCCUCCAUAAUCAUGACCAGUCUGUAUUGGACACCAGUGACAUGAGGCCAUUCACCAACCUUGAGGAGAGUUCCAGCCCUCAGCAGACACCCAGGAGACUCUGUUCUCAAUACUCUGUACUAACAACUUGACACAAUGCCAAUACAACCUCAUGAUUAAGAGAAACCAGGCAUGACUCAAUAAACUUUGAUUGUUUGGGACAUCUGCCUCAGUCACUCAUUUUGGUUGUCAGCAUGGACUCUAGAUCAGACCAAGUUGACCUCCCUUCUUCACCAUUAACUGCUUUGAGAUAAGAAGCUACAGCAUCUGUCAAGAGCCGUAUGUAGCUUGAGAUGACUACCUGAAGAUGUAUCAUGGUAUCAGCUGGUUAGUUAAGAAGUCGUUUUCCAGCUUCAACUGGCAAGUAACAAGCCAAGCAAGAAUUUCAAUGGAAAAUUACAGAGAUACUAACAGGUUUGAGUACUUAUGAAUACAAAAUAAAUAAACGGAUUUAAAUUACUUUAUUAUUACAAUGCAGAAAUGAGGAAGUGUAAUAGCCAGCUAGUCUUGGAACAUGGCACUGUGAAUGAAAUGAUUAAUUGCAUAUUCAUCUGGUCUCAGAUACAGGACAUUCUCUUGCAUAGGUUAAAUGUAUUAAUGGUAGAGAAUUAUGCAAAAAAUACUCAUUUUCUCCAAUACCAGAACAUACAGGAAGCAAGUAAAGUGAGUGCCUUUUUACCAAUAGUACCAGUAGAUAAGAAGAUAAGAUACAGAUAAUAAAGCACAGAGCAUUGCACAGAUCUACACCAAUGGAUUGGAAUGGAAUGUAGGAUUCUCUUCUUGCUGUGGACACCAUCAAAAUGUGAGAUCACUUCUCUGCUCAAUAGGACAAUCAUACUGAUUCCUUAGGAAGACAUAUAGGAAUCAGUAGAGGGAGAUCCUACCCUGGAAUCGUUUGAUGUCCUUGGGUUAUCUUCCUCUACAAAAAGGGCUAGUUGAAAUAAUGACAUGUGGGAGAUCAGCACUCCAAGUCAAAAUUGCAAAACAGAAGAAAAUUCCAGAAUUAUAUCACUGUUAAGAUAGCAACAAAUAAAUAAUUUGCACCCUACAACCCAUGUGUGAAUUUAAUUCUGGAAAACCCAAUCUGAGACAGGGACAUCCAUCACCAUGUGAAAAAGCCUGGGAUAGUCUGCUGGAAGAAAAUGUAACUUGCAGAGAAUAGAACAGAUAAACCUUGCAGUGUACCCAGUUGGAUUUCAGAACAUUGAAGAGCAGCAGCUUUUAUGGGAAUAAGAGUGUCCCUUACAGGUAAUCUCCUCGACAUUUAUAUUGGGUGAGUCACAGUCAGAAAAUAUCUUAGUUUGUAACUUUGAGGAUGAAGAGUAGGUGUAUUCAAGGAGCUACCUUCUUGAACACAAUUGAAGGUCAUGAAAUUCUGAACUUCAAGGUUGAUACCAUGAUUUCAUGAGACUUUUGAAAGUCCUAGGAUGGCAAUGAGAAUAUCUUUUAUGUGGAAAAAUUGUGGGUAAUUUGUGGCCAGAGGUUGGACUGUGGUAGAUUCGAAAAGUGGUUGCAAAAGUUUUCCAUUCUUGUUUCAUGUCCUUCAGUCAUGACUUCUCCUAGUGACUUUAAGAUUAUCGAUGUGAUUUGCUUUGCCUAUGAGGCAAUAAGCAAAUGUGACACAAGCAGAGGCUUAAAAAUGCGUAUGCUUUAGGAGAGGUUAGCUGUUGCUCUUGGGAAACACAGAACCAUAUAAAGCUGCUAACCUUCUGGCAGAUGAGAAUCAUCACGGAGCAGAGAUGAGGCUAAACAGCUGAGGCUUCUCUAAAAAACAAAACAAACAAACAAACAAACAAAAGCAGUGCACUUCUCAGGUGAUUGGCAUCGGAUAGCAGAAGCAUCGGUGAGUCAGCUGAGGUACAUAGAAGAAAUGCCUACCUGAGCCAACCCAAAUUGCCAACCCACAAAAAUCUGAAACCAAAUAAAUUGUUUAAAACUACUAGGUUUGAGAGUAUUUUGUUACAAAGCAGGUUAACCAAGGCAAUUAAAUGUAAAAGGUAUACUAAAUGAAUAAUUUUAUAAACAUUAAGCCAUAAUGACAUCAAAUUGAUUUUGAAGUUCAUUAAUGCAUACAGUCCUCAAACUGCUUUAUUCAUUGUAUACUGUAAUGUUUCACAUUUAAUUUCUGUAUCUAUUCCACUAAAGUUUAGUUUUUACUUGAGAAGACAAAAAUAUUAUUAUAGGAAAUUUUAUAUCAUACUCAUAAUUUGAUUUGUGAAAAUAAAUAAAAUUCAAAUAAUGUUGAUUUCUGUUAAUGAUGCUGAUUGCUUAUUAGAUCCUACACAUAUAAGUGAAUCAUUUGCCCAUAAAUAUUAUAGAUUAUUAUCAUAACAAGUAUUGAAUAACCUAUACUUCUCAUUUUGAAGAAGUGUAUUCUAUCUUUAAUCAGUUGUGCCUAAAUUUAAAUGUGUAUACAUUUAAGAAUUUUAUCAAAAAAUGUCUUUAAAAAAUCAAAAACAUCAUCAAACUGCCAAAAAUAGAAAAGCUGGGGUAGAGAAGUGAAACUAUUGCUCAGUGAUACAGUCCCUUUUUGUGCCAGCAACAGCUGGGCAAUCAACUUUCAUUUAUAACUAUCUACCGUAAGCAGCUUGCCCGUGGCCAAGUCAAUCAUUAUAGAAUCUAAUGGUACAUCAAUUUUCUUCCAAGAUUUAAUUUGGCACACAGGGUUUUGAAAAAGAAGACUAUCAUAAAAUAUUGCUACAACUCCAGAAUCUAAUAUCUUACUUGUGUUUUGACCCCAUUAGAUAAAAUAAAUUGAAAUCCUUUCAUUAAUGUGUUAACAGAGUCAUUUUAAAAUUGAAUUUUCAUAGUGAUCUCCUUGAAAUUGCUUAUAAAGAACUAAGUUAUGUUGCUAAGGUUCUUAUGCAAAUUUUAAACAGAUAAUAUACCUUUUUGUCUCACAACCAUAACACAUCAAUGCAAGGUUCUGUGUUAACCAAUUUCUUACCAACAAAAUAAUUUUUAAUUUGAUUGUUCUUGGUUUGAAGAUUUGCUACUUCUCUUGUUUAAUUUGUGCAGAAUAAAUUUUAUUAGAGUCUUUUACAGAUAUCUUAUGACAGUAGGGAGUACAUGUGAUCAUAUUUUAUAAAUAUUUUCAAGUUGGUAUCAUGCCUAAAUAUCCUAAGUAGUGAUUUGUGAAUAAUGGCAAAUUAAAAUGAAUUAAUGAGAAGUUUGUUAAAAAUGCAGAUGCUCAAAAGAUUAUAUUGCUAGCAGUGUACGGCUAAGUAGAAGUUAAGUGUUCCAGGAUUUGUGAACCAUCAUUUUAAGGACUGAACUGAUGAUGAAAUCACUUAAGUGAAUAUAUUAGCUACUAUACAAAAGAAAAAAUAAAAAAAGUACUUUUUAGAUAACAGAUAACAGCAAAAUGAAGCAUAUUGCAAUAAUACUUUAUCUAUAAUUCUGGAAACAUAAUUUUUAGUUCUUAGGAAUCAUAGGAAUUAGGAUAUAAUAAACAUAAAAAUGAGCUCAAAGAUACAAGUCCAAAAUACAAAUUUUUGUUCUUUUCCUCCUUCCCUAUAUGAAUCAGAAUUUGAGGAGGUGUCAUAGAAAUCUGGAUUUUUAGCAAGCCCAGAAGUUAAUUGUAUAAAUGGUUCUCAAAGCAGUACCAUUUUGCUGAUGUACUUACCAUUGCUUACUAAUCCCCACUCUUUGACAGGCAUUGCAUUCAAGUGCCUUUCAAUUUUGUUUAUUUAACUGCUUAAAACUAUUAUGUUGUAGAUAUUCUUGCGCCUAUGUUACAAGGGUAAGAAAAUGAUUAAAUAAUCAUCUAAAGUCAAAAAAAUAAUAAAAAUAAAGCCAGGAAGCAACUCAGAUC